This is a small nuclear RNA of Cavia porcellus (domestic guinea pig), 106 nucleotides long. The record is from Ensembl. NCBI's taxonomy places the organism in Eukaryota, Metazoa, Chordata, Mammalia, Rodentia, Caviidae.
GUGCUCAGUUUGGCAGCACAUAUACUAAACUUGUAACAAUACAGAGAAGAUGGCCCCUGCACAAAGAUGACAUGCAAACUCAGGAAGUGAAGUGUUCUAUAUUUUU